CGGGGGGCAGCAGUGGGGAAUAUUGGGCAAUGGACGCAAGUCUGACCCAGCGACGCCGCGUGCGGGAUGAAGGCCUUCGGGUUGUAAACCGCUUUCAGCAGGGAAGAAGCGAAAGUGACGGUACCUGCAAAAGAAGCACCGGCUAACUAUGUGCCAGCAGCCGCGGUAAUACAUAGGGUGCAAGCGUUGUCCGGAAUUAUUGGGCGUAAAGAGCUCGUAGGUGGUUAGUUACGUCGGGUGUGAAAAUCUGGGGCUCAACCCCAGACCUGCACUCGAUACGGGCUAGCUAGAGUUUGGUAGGGGAGACUGGAAUUCCUGGUGUAGCGGUGGAAUGCGCAGAUAUCAGGAGGAACACCAAUGGCGAAGGCAGGUCUCUGGGCCAAUACUGACACUGAGGAGCGAAAGCGCGGGGAGCGAACAGGAUUAGAUACCCCCGU
Molecule: ribosomal RNA, 437 nt
Filed under: uncultured Actinomycetales bacterium
Lineage: Bacteria; Bacillati; Actinomycetota; Actinomycetes; Actinomycetales
Description: bacterial SSU rRNA
Rfam family: Bacterial small subunit ribosomal RNA
Source: RNAcentral